UGAGAGGAUUGGGAUGGCCUCUGGGUGG
RNAcentral lists this small RNA (28 nucleotides) under Bombyx mori (domestic silkworm). RNAcentral's name for it is "ovarian small RNA-32149". Lineage: Eukaryota; Metazoa; Arthropoda; Insecta; Lepidoptera; Bombycidae. The record is from RNAcentral.